Molecule: ribosomal RNA, 1233 nt
Filed under: Alburnus tarichi (tarek)
Lineage: Eukaryota; Metazoa; Chordata; Actinopteri; Cypriniformes; Leuciscidae
Description: partial large subunit ribosomal RNA
Rfam family: Bacterial large subunit ribosomal RNA
Source: RNAcentral
AGACCUUUAGUUUGAACCCCGAAACCAGGUGAGCUACCCCGAGACAGCCUAUAUUGAUUUAGGGCUAACCCGUCUCUGUGGCAAAAGAGUGGGAAGAGCUCCGGGUAGAAGUGACAGACCUACCGAACCUGGUGAUAGCUGGUUGCCUGAGAAGUGGAUAGAAGUUCAGCCUCGCACACCCCAAGCCAGAGAAUACACCGCUAAGGCACUCAGGGAAAUGUGGGAGAGUUAGUUAAAGGGGGUACAGCCCCUUUAACAAAGGAUACAACCUUUGCAGGAGGAUAAAGAUCAUAAUAUAUAAAACAUGCUGCUCUAGUGGGCCUAAAGGCAGCCACCUAAACAGAAAGCGUUAAAGCUCAGGCAGAAAGAAGUUUAUUAUACCGAUAAAAAAUCUUACUCCCCUAAUUAUAUCAGGCCAACCCAUGCCAACAUGGAAGAGAUUAUGCUAAAAUGAGUAACAAGAAGACCUGCUCUUCUCCCAGCACAAGUGUAAGCCAGAUCGGACUAGCCGCUGGAACUUAACGAACCCAACCCAAGAGGGUAGUGUGAAUAGUACAGACCCCAAGAAGAACUCACAACUAAACAAUCGUUAACCCCACACUGGAGUGCUAUUAUAAAGGAAAGACUAAAAGAGGGGGAAGGAACUCGGCAAACACAAGCCUCGCCUGUUUACCAAAAACAUCGCCUCCUGCAACUAUAUUGAGUAUAGGAGGUCCAGCCUGCCCAGUGACUACGGGUUCAACGGCCGCGGUAUUUUGACCGUGCAAAGGUAGCGCAAUCACUUGUCUCUUAAAUAGAGACCUGUAUGAAUGGCUAGACGAGGGCUUAACUGUCUCCCCCCUCCAGUCAGUGAAAUUGAUCUAUCCGUGCAGAAGCGGGUAUAAUUAUACAAGACGAGAAGACCCUUUGGAGCUUAAGGUACAAAAUCCAACCACGUUAAACGACCCCCUAAAGGGCAAGAACUUAGUGGCCAAUGAAGUUUUACCUUCGGUUGGGGCGACCACGGAGGAGAAAAAAGCCUCCGAGUGGACUGGGUUAAAACCCAAAGCUAAGAGAUACAUCUCUAAGCCGCAGAACAUCUGACCAAAAGUGAUCCGGCUAAAAAGCCGAUCAACGAACCAAGUUACCCUAGGGAUAACAGCGCAAUCCUCUCCCAGAGUCCAUAUCGACGAGGGGGUUUACGACCUCGAUGUUGGAUCAGGACAUCCUAAUGGUGCAGCCGCUAUUAAAGGU